GACAGAGGGUGCUAGCGUUGUUCGGAAUCACUGGGCGUAAAGGGUGCGUAGGCGGGCGCUUAAGUCAGGGGUGAAAUCCCGAGGCUCAACCUCGGAACUGCCUUUGAUACUGGGUGUCUUGAGUCCGGAAGAGGUGAGUGGAACUGCGAGUGUAGAGGUGAAAUUCGUAGAUAUUCGCAAGAACACCGGUGGCGAAGGCGGCUCACUGGUCCGGAACUGACGCUGAGGCACGACAGCGUGGGGAGCAAACAGG
This 253-nucleotide ribosomal RNA is filed under the name uncultured bacterium. RNAcentral describes it as "partial 16S ribosomal RNA". It matches the Rfam family "Bacterial small subunit ribosomal RNA", at positions 524 to 776 of the family's 1533-position model. The record is from RNAcentral.